AUUGAACGCUGGCGGCAGGCCUAACACAUGCAAGUCGAGCGAGCGGCGGACGGGUGAGUAAUGCCUAGGAAUCUGCCUGGUAGUGGGGGAUAACGUCCGGAAACGGUAGCUAAUACCGCAUACCAUCAGAUGUGCCCAGAUGGGAUUAGCUAGUAGGUGGGGUAACGGCUCACCUAGGCGACGAUCCCUAGCUGGUCUGAGAGGAUGACCAGCCACACUGGAACUGAGACACGGUCCAGACUCCUACGGGAGGCAGCAGUGGGGAAUAUUGCACAAUGGGCGCAAGCCUGAUGCAGCCAUGCCGCGUGUGUGAAGAAGGCCUUCGGGUUGUAAAGCACUUUCAGCGGGGAGGCGUUACCCGCAGAAGAAGCACCGGCUAACUCCGUGCCAGCAGCCGCGGUAAUAC
Molecule: ribosomal RNA, 406 nt
Filed under: uncultured bacterium
Lineage: Bacteria
Description: partial 16S ribosomal RNA
Rfam family: Bacterial small subunit ribosomal RNA
Source: RNAcentral